UGGGGAAUAUUGGACAAUGGGCGCAAGCCUGAUCCAGCCAUGCCGCGUGAGUGAUGAAGGCCCUAGGGUUGUAAAGCUCUUUCACCGGUGAAGAUAAUGACGGUAACCGGAGAAGAAGCCCCGGCUAACUUCGUGCCAGCAGCCGCGGUAAUACGAAGGGGGCUAGCGUUGUUCGGAUUUACUGGGCGUAAAGCGCACGUAGGCGGACUAUUAAGUCAGGGGUGAAAUCCCGGGGCUCAACCCCGGAACUGCCUUUGAUACUGGUAGUCUUGAGUUCGAGAGAGGUGAGUGGAAUCCCGAGUGUAGAGGUGAAAUUCGUAGAUAUUCGGAGGAACACCAGUGGCGAAGGCGGCUCACUGGCUCGAUACUGACGCUGAGGUGCGAAAGCGUGGGGAGCAAACAGG
Molecule: ribosomal RNA, 404 nt
Filed under: Actinomycetes bacterium
Lineage: Bacteria; Bacillati; Actinomycetota; Actinomycetes
Description: Actinobacteria bacterium partial 16S ribosomal RNA
Rfam family: Bacterial small subunit ribosomal RNA
Source: RNAcentral